Molecule: ribosomal RNA, 440 nt
Filed under: uncultured bacterium
Lineage: Bacteria
Description: bacterial SSU rRNA
Rfam family: Bacterial small subunit ribosomal RNA
Source: RNAcentral
CUACGGGAGGCAGCAGUGGGGAAUAUUGGACAAUGGGCGCAAGCCUGAUCCAGCCAUGCCGCGUGGAUGAUGAAGGCCCUAGGGUUGUAAAGUCCUUUUAACGGGGAAGAUAAUGACGGUACCCGUAGAAUAAGCCCCGGCUAACUUCGUGCCAGCAGCCGCGGUAAUACGAAGGGGGCUAGCGUUGCUCGGAAUUACUGGGCGUAAAGCGCACGUAGGCGGCUUCUUAAGUCGGUGGUGAAAUCCUGGAGCUCAACUCCAGAACUGCCUUCGAUACUGGGAAGCUCGAGUUCGGGAGAGGUGAGUGGAACUGCGAGUGUAGAGGUGAAAUUCGUAGAUAUUCGCAAGAACACCAGUGGCGAAGGCGGCUCACUGGCCCGAUACUGACGCUGAGGUGCGAAAGCGUGGGGAGCAAACAGGAUUAGAUACCCCAGUAGUCU